CGUGCCAGCAGCCGCGGUAAUACGUAGGGUGCGAGCGUUGUCCGGGAAUUAUUGGGCGUAAAGAGCUUGUAGGCGGUCUGUCGCGUCUGCUGUGAAAACCCGAGGCUCAACCUCGGGCCUGCAGUGGGUACGGGCAGACUAGAGUGCGGUAGGGGAGAACGGAACUCCUGGUGUAGCGGUGGAAUGCGCAGAUAUCAGGAAGAACACCGAUGGCGAAGGCAGUUCUCUGGGCCGUAACUGACGCUGAGAAGCGAAAGCGUGGGGAGCGAACAGGAUUAGAUACCCUGGUAGUCCACGCCGUAAACGUUGGGCGCUAGAUGUGGGGACCAUUCCACGGUUUCCGUGUCGUAGCUAACGCAUUAAGCGCCCCGCCUGGGGAGUACGGCCGCAAGGCUAAAACUCAAAGGAAUUGACGGGGGCCCGCACAAGCGGCGGAGCAUGCGGAUUAAUUCGAUGCAACGCGAAGAACCUUACCAAGGCUUGACAUAUACCGGAAACGGCCAGAGAUGGUCGCCCCCUUGUGGUCGGUAUACAGGUGGUGCAUGGUUGUCGUCAGCUCGUGUCGUGAGAUGUUGGGUUAAGUCCCGCAACGAGCGCAACCCUCGUUCUAUGUUGCCAGCGGUUCGGCCGGGAACUCAUAGGAGACUGCCGGGGUCAACUCGGAGGAAGGUGGGGAUGACGUCAAAUCAUCAUGCCCCUUAUGUCUUGGGCUUCACGCAUGCUACAAUGGCCGGUACAAAGGGCUGCGAUGCCGUAAGGCGGAGCGAAUCCCAAAAAGCCGGUCUCAGUUCGGAUUGAGGUCUGCAACUCGACCUCAUGAAGUCGGAGUCGCUAGUAAUCGCAGAUCAGCAACGCUGCGGUGAAUACGUUCCCGGGCCUUGUACACACCGCCCGUCAAGUCAUGAAAGUCGGUAACACCCG
RNAcentral lists this ribosomal RNA (921 nucleotides) under Microbacteriaceae bacterium. RNAcentral's name for it is "bacterial SSU rRNA". It matches the Rfam family "Bacterial small subunit ribosomal RNA", at positions 504 to 1423 of the family's 1533-position model. Lineage: Bacteria; Bacillati; Actinomycetota; Actinomycetes; Micrococcales; Microbacteriaceae. The record is from RNAcentral.